RNAcentral lists this transfer RNA (73 nucleotides) under Cupriavidus sp. USMAA2-4. It matches the Rfam family "tRNA". Rfam says of the family: Transfer RNA (tRNA) molecules are approximately 80 nucleotides in length. Lineage: Bacteria; Pseudomonadati; Pseudomonadota; Betaproteobacteria; Burkholderiales; Burkholderiaceae. The record is from Rfam by way of RNAcentral.
GGGGUGUUAGCUCAGUUGGUAGAGCAGCGGACUCUUAAUCCGUAGGUCGAGUGUUCGAGUCACUCACGCCCCA